This is a long non-coding RNA of Thalassophryne amazonica, 127 nucleotides long. RefSeq lists it as uncharacterized. Lineage: Eukaryota; Metazoa; Chordata; Actinopteri; Batrachoidiformes; Batrachoididae. The transcript has 3 exons. The record is from RefSeq and is a predicted model, not a curated record.
ACCAGUUCCUGAACAAUACUUUUUUCAAUACCAAUUUUAUAAGAUCAGUUCUAACAAAAAGAAAAUUACAUUACACAUAGUACAAAUCUUGAGUUUUAUUUUUCAGCUUUGGUUUUUCACAGCAGAU